Molecule: ribosomal RNA, 788 nt
Filed under: uncultured Bacteroidota bacterium
Lineage: Bacteria; Pseudomonadati; Bacteroidota
Description: bacterial SSU rRNA
Rfam family: Bacterial small subunit ribosomal RNA
Source: RNAcentral
ACAUGCAAGUCGAGGGGUAACAGAGAGAAGCUUGCUUUUCUGCUGACGACCGGCGCACGGGUGAGUAACGCGUAUACAAUCUGCCUUAUACAGAGGGAUAGCCUUUAGAAAUGAAGAUUAAUACCUUAUAGUCUAUUUUUAUAGCAUUAUAUAAAUAGUAAAGCUUCGGUGGUAUAAGAUGAGUAUGCGUCCUAUUAGUUAGUUGGUAAGGUAACGGCUUACCAAGACAACGAUAGGUAGGGGCCCUGAGAGGGGGAUCCCCCACACUGGUACUGAGACACGGACCAGACUCCUACGGGAGGCAGCAGUGAGGAAUAUUGGACAAUGGAGGCAACUCUGAUCCAGCCAUGCCGCGUGCAGGAAGACGGCCCUAUGGGUUGUAAACUGCUUUUAUAUAGGAAGAAACCUUUUCACGUGUGAGAAGCUGACGGUACUAUAAGAAUAAGGACCGGCUAACUCCGUGCCAGCAGCCGCGGUAAUACGGAGGGUCCGAGCGUUAUCCGGAAUCAUUGGGUUUAAAGGGUCCGUAGGCGGGAAUCUAAGUCAGUGGUGAAAUCUUGCAGCUCAACUGUAAAAUUGCCAUUGAUACUGGAUUUCUUGAAUUAGUGUGAAGUGGUUAGAAUGUGUAGUGUAGCGGUGAAAUGCAUAGAUAUUACACAGAAUACCAAUUGCGAAGGCAGAUCACUAACACUAUAUUGACGCUGAGGGACGAAAGCGUGGGGAGCGAACAGGAUUAGAUACCCUGGUAGUCCACGCCGUAAACGAUGGGAUACUAGCUGUUCGAUCUU